RNAcentral lists this long non-coding RNA (390 nucleotides) under Sinocyclocheilus grahami. Its description in RNAcentral is "lncRNA (ENSSGRG00000035402.1)". Lineage: Eukaryota; Metazoa; Chordata; Actinopteri; Cypriniformes; Cyprinidae. The record is from RNAcentral.
GCAGCCACAAAGCCAGCAGACUGCCUGCUGAUGUUGAUCAUUUCCUCUGGGAUCAGUCGCCAAUUAUGCUUUGAAACCCAGUCCUGCUCUGACCCAACGGAAACUCUAAAAAGGUUUACCCAUACCGGAUUCCUUUCCUACUCACCUGCAUUCUCACGUCCUGACAUCUCGUCUUCAGCCUGCCAACCUGCAAAGAGGAAAAGAAACAUUGUUACUCCUUACCUGACUCACCUACCUGGACUCUCACCCGUUACCCGCCUGUCUUCGCCGUCUGCAUCAUGUCGGGCCUGUAAAGAGAUACAAGGAUCGGUUAUCAACCUGCGCGAAGUCCAGUCAUUCUCAAAGACUCUUGAGUUACUCACCCGUUUGCUCUGCAUCUCUCCCCUCCGC